AGAACGAACGCUGGCGGCAGGCUUAACACAUGCAAGUCGAACGCGUGUAGCAAUACACGAGUGGCGCACGGGUGAGUAACGCGUGGAUAUCUGCCUUUUGGUUCGGAAUAACCCCGGGAAACUGGGGCUAAUACCGGAUGGUUCCUUCGGGAUAAAGAUUUAUCGCCAAAAGAUGAGUCCGCGUCCGAUUAGCUAGUUGGUGAGGUAAUGGCUCACCAAGGCGACGAUCGGUAGCUGGUCUGAGAGGACGAUCAGCCACACUGGGACUGAGACACGGCCCAGACUCCUACGGGAGGCAGCAGUGGGGAAUAUUGGACAAUGGGGGCAACCCUGAUCCAGCCAUGCCGCGUGAGUGAUGAAGGCCUUCGGGUUGUAAAGCUCUUUUGGCGGGACGAUGAUGACGGUACCCGCAGAAUAAGCCCGGCUAACUUCGUGCCAGCAGCCGC
Molecule: ribosomal RNA, 446 nt
Filed under: uncultured bacterium
Lineage: Bacteria
Description: SSU rRNA
Rfam family: Bacterial small subunit ribosomal RNA
Source: RNAcentral